AAGACUGGAAAGCAGCAGCAGCGCUGACAGUAGUGCGUAGUACAGCUUUAAAUGGAGCAGGGAGCAUACAGAGGAGUUGAUAAAACUCCGUGGGCAAAAUGACCACCUCUUUACCGGGGCCAAGAACACUGCCGCAGUCAGAUGGAGAACAAUCCUGCAAAAAAAUG
Molecule: long non-coding RNA, 167 nt
Organism: Fundulus heteroclitus (mummichog)
Lineage: Eukaryota; Metazoa; Chordata; Actinopteri; Cyprinodontiformes; Fundulidae
Exons: 3
Source: RefSeq, a predicted model, not a curated record